This 468-nucleotide ribosomal RNA is filed under the name uncultured bacterium. RNAcentral's name for it is "partial 16S ribosomal RNA". It matches the Rfam family "Bacterial small subunit ribosomal RNA", at positions 28 to 507 of the family's 1533-position model. The record is from RNAcentral.
GAUGAACGCUGGCGGCGUGCCUAACACAUGCAAGUCGAACGGAAAGACGCUGCUUUUGUGGGGUUCUCGAGUGGCGAACGGGUGAGUAACACGCGAGUAUCCUGGCCUUGACUGGGGGAUAUCUGCAGGAAACUGCGGAUAAUACCGGAGAGGAGCUGCUGCAGCAUGGGGGGGGUUGGAAAGUUUCGGCGGUGGUGGAUGGACUCGAGGUUUACCAGCUUGUUGGGGGGGUAGUUGCGUACCAAGGCUUUGACGGGUCGCCGGCCUGGGAGGGUGACCGGCGACCAUAGGCCUAAGAUACGGCGCAGACGCGAACGGGAGGCAGCGGUGGAGAAUUUUACACAGCGAGGGGAAGCGUGAUGCAGCAGCGCCGGGUGCGGAAAGCCGGCCUACGGGUUGUGAACCGCUUUCGCCUGUGACGAAGCGUGAGUGACGGUAAUGGGUAAAGAAGCACCGGCUAACUACGUG